CCUACGGGGGUCUGCAGUGGGGAAUAUUGGACAAUGGGCGAAAGCCUGAUCCAGCCAUGCCGCGUGUGUGAAGAAGGCCUUCGGGUUGUAAAGCACUUUCAGUGGGGAAGAAAGCCUUGGGGCUAAUACCCUCGAGGAAGGACAUCACCCACAGAAGAAGCACCGGCUAACUCCGUGCCAGCAGCCGCGGUAAUACGGAGGGUGCGAGCGUUAAUCGGAAUGACUGGGCGUAAAGCGCGCGUAGGCGGUCUGAUAAGCCGGUUGUGAAAGCCCCGGGCUCAACCUGGGAACGGCAUCCGGAACUGUCAGGCUAGAGUGCAGGAGAGGAAGGUAGAAUUCCCGGUGUAGCGGUGAAAUGCGUAGAGAUCGGGAGGAAUACCAGUGGCGAAGGCGGCCUUCUGGACUGACACUGACGCUGAGGUGCGAAAGCGUGGGUAGCAAACAGGAUUAGAUACCCCAGUAGUC
This 465-nucleotide ribosomal RNA is filed under the name Vreelandella stevensii. RNAcentral's name for it is "partial 16S ribosomal RNA". It matches the Rfam family "Bacterial small subunit ribosomal RNA", at positions 338 to 795 of the family's 1533-position model. Lineage: Bacteria; Pseudomonadati; Pseudomonadota; Gammaproteobacteria; Oceanospirillales; Halomonadaceae. The record is from RNAcentral.